RNAcentral lists this microRNA precursor (58 nucleotides) under Ictidomys tridecemlineatus (thirteen-lined ground squirrel). RNAcentral describes it as "miRNA (ENSSTOG00000031304.1)". Lineage: Eukaryota; Metazoa; Chordata; Mammalia; Rodentia; Sciuridae. The record is from RNAcentral.
UGGCGGGGCCUGGAGCCAGGGGCUGGGCUGGAGGCCUCACCCUGCCUGCGCCCCUUAG